This is a long non-coding RNA of Triticum urartu, 685 nucleotides long. RefSeq lists it as uncharacterized. NCBI's taxonomy places the organism in Eukaryota, Viridiplantae, Streptophyta, Magnoliopsida, Poales, Poaceae. The record is from RefSeq and is a predicted model, not a curated record.
UCUCACACAUCUCGAUUUCUCUCUCUGUCUCAAACAGUGCACUCCGCCGCCAUGGACCUUGCAGCGCGCCGCCCUAAUGCCAAGUCCCUCCUCGCCGUUCCUGCGCCGCCAAGCCGAAGCCUCGCCCAAGUCCAAGCACCGCCGCCGUUUGCCUCCUCGCCAUGGCCUCCCCUGCAUCGUCUGCUUCGUGGACAGAGCUCCGUCUCCGUCAAUGUGUCCUCCCGCCGUCUCUGUUUGCUGUCGGGCUCGAUCGACUCCAGCAGCACCCCCACGGUGACGCUCCGCUCGGCACCCGAGAUGGAGUAGGAGGAUGAGCAGCAGCAACAAAUGAACCUGAUGGUGAAGAAGCACCUGAUGACCAGAACUCGUUCAAGUGCUCUUUAGUCCUUCCAAAGCAAGGAGCUUUGGGCCUAAUUUUUUUGGAGUGUGAAGCCAUGAAGCCAAGUGCGAAUCAGUGAAGCCCUACUUAGCAAAGAGUUUUUUUGGUUCUGUAGUAGACUGUAAAUUGUAAUAUUGUAUCAGAUUGUAAAAGACUAAUGUAGUGUUAUUUGAUGAAUUAUAUUUGUCCCGUCCUAUUUGAAAUAGUGAUUAUGUAUGUUAAAAAGAUGUGAAAUGGAAACAUGACCAGCGGGACCAAUUUAUGCCCCACUUAUGAAUAUAAUUUGAGAUAUUUUGAAUUUUUUGA